UCACGCCCAGACGUCCCAAGGUAUGAGCUGUAGAUACGCAUGUGAGCGCUGGUGGGAGACGCCAGGCUGGGAUUUCCGCUCGAUCUGGGAAUGAGCAAUGCAACCUAAUGACACCCGGAGCUCCUGAAUCACCUGGGGAAGAUGAAGAGAGACACUCUCUGGUGGGAACGUCUCCUAGAAACAAGGCCUAAGAUGGGGCGACCACAGCCCCACAGCUGUGUCCAGAUGCAGGGAGCACUCGCCUGUGCUGUGAGGGACGGCCGGUGUCAUCGUUGGAGCUUCCUAAGACUCCCAGAGGCUGAUGCACCUCCCAGACCCGCCUCCGCCCGGCUCCCUGGGCCCUGCUCCAGGGGCUUCAUUGCUCCCUGCCCCGGGUCACCCCUCGGCUCACCGUCUCUCAG
RNAcentral lists this long non-coding RNA (401 nucleotides) under Homo sapiens (human). Its description in RNAcentral is "non-protein coding LINC01257:2". Lineage: Eukaryota; Metazoa; Chordata; Mammalia; Primates; Hominidae. The record is from RNAcentral.